RNAcentral lists this long non-coding RNA (623 nucleotides) under Brassica napus (rape). RNAcentral's name for it is "long non-coding RNA (BNAP_LNC009265)". Lineage: Eukaryota; Viridiplantae; Streptophyta; Magnoliopsida; Brassicales; Brassicaceae. The record is from RNAcentral.
AUUAAGUAAAUUAAAUAUAAAACUUAAAUUAUAAUAUAUAUAUAUAUAUAAGACGUCCGCAAACAACCAUAAACUUAUCAAUUAAUAAAGUUACAUACUAUAUAUUUUUAAAAAUCAAAUGGCGAUAUAAGCAACCAAAACCAUGUAGAAAUCCUUAAAAACAUAACCAGUUUUAGAUGUAAUGGAUAAAAAAAAUUAUAUAAUGCAGAUGCACAGUACAUAUCAAAUUUUACAUUAUAUUUUGAAUCAAACGAUUAUUUUCUCAUAAUCAAACGAUUAUGAGAUGUAUUCUUCCCAUAAACAUAUUAAAAAUAAAUAAUAAAUUUUAACAACCACCAAUAUAUAUAGCGACAUAUUACCAAAAUAUAGCUACAUAUCUCUAUUUACACUAAAAAUAUCUACUAUUUCAAAAUGAUAAAUAUACAACUUACUUUUAUCACAUAAAGUUACAAAAUUAGUAUAUAUUUCUGAUUUAGUAUAUAAUCUUGAGAUAUACCGAUUCUCUAAACAAAUUAAAAAUAAAAAGACAUUCAAUAACAAAAAAUAAUAAUCUGAAAAUGAAACUAAAAAUAUUGCUACCUAAAUAAGAAUCAAAACCAAAACUUCCGAUUCCCUAUUCACAC